UAUGUGAUCGUCUCUCGCAUAUCAAUAAGCGGAGGAAAAGAAACUAACAAGGAUUCCCCUAGUAACGGCGAGUGAAGCGGGAAGAGCUCAAAUUUGAAAUCUUAAAGGGUUUCCCUUUACGAAUUGUAGUUUAAAGAAGUGUUUUCUGUUGAGGUUUUGGUAAAAGUUCUUUGGAAUAGGACAUCAUAGAGGGUGAGAAUCCCGUAUUUGACCUUUACUUUCAACUUUGUGAUACACUUUCAAAGAGUCGGAUUGUUUGGGAAUGCAGUCCAAAAUGGGUGGUAAAUUUCAUCUAAAGCUAAAUAUUGGCGAGAGACCGAUAGCGAACAAGUACCGUGAGGGAAAGAUGAAAAGAACUUUGAAAAGAGAGUUAAACAGUACGUGAAAUUGUCAAAAGGGAAGCGUUUGACAUCAGUGUUGUUUUUCUGAAAAUCAAUUAAAGAACUGUUUAUGCUAAGCUGUUUAGACUUUAUCAGCUAUCUGUUUAGUUUUGAGCUUUUCUUUAAUGCACUUUUCAGUUAACAAGUCAACAUCAAUUUCUUUUGCUGUAAAAAAGCUUGAGGAAGGUGGCUUGAGAUUCGUCUUAAGUGUUUAUAGCCUCUUGCCUAUGCAGUCGGAGAGAUUGAGGUCUGCAGCGUAGAUCCUUCGGGGCUAAACGCAUUUGUGCUAAGUUAUAGCAUUUUAUAGACAACUUGUUGACUAUGAUUUGUCUUGUAGCUUACUCGCUUAUGUUAUUUUACCUACGCUUAGGAUGUUGAUAUGCAUGACUGAUAU
RNAcentral lists this ribosomal RNA (774 nucleotides) under uncultured Neocallimastigales. RNAcentral describes it as "partial large subunit ribosomal RNA". It matches the Rfam family "Eukaryotic large subunit ribosomal RNA", at positions 24 to 640 of the family's 3401-position model. Lineage: Eukaryota; Fungi; Neocallimastigomycota; Neocallimastigomycetes; Neocallimastigales. The record is from RNAcentral.